Molecule: ribosomal RNA, 451 nt
Filed under: uncultured bacterium
Lineage: Bacteria
Description: bacterial SSU rRNA
Rfam family: Bacterial small subunit ribosomal RNA
Source: RNAcentral
AACGAACGCUGGCGGCAUGCCUAACACAUGCAAGUCGAACGAAGUCUUCGGACUUAGUGGCGCACGGGUGCGUAACGCGUGGGAAUCUGCCCUUGGGUGCGGAAUAACUUCUCGAAAGGGAUGCUAAUACCGCAUAAUGUCGUAAGACCAAAGAUUUAUCGCCCAAGGAUGAGCCCGCGUAAGAUUAGCUAGUUGGUGGGGUAAAAGCCUACCAAGGCGACGAUCUUUAGCUGGUCUGAGAGGAUGAUCAGCCACACUGGGACUGAGACACGGCCCAGACUCCUACGGGAGGCAGCAGUGGGGAAUAUUGGACAAUGGGCGAAAGCCUGAUCCAGCAAUGCCGCGUGAGUGAUGAAGGCCCUAGGGUUGUAAAGCUCUUUUACCAGGGAUGAUAAUGACAGUACCUGGAGAAUAAGACUCCGGCUAACUCCGUGCCAGCAGCCGCGGUAAU